Molecule: ribosomal RNA, 252 nt
Filed under: uncultured bacterium
Lineage: Bacteria
Description: partial 16S ribosomal RNA
Rfam family: Bacterial small subunit ribosomal RNA
Source: RNAcentral
UACAGAGGAGCCAAGCGUUGUCCGGAUUGACUGGGCGUAAAGCGCACGCAGGCGGGUGCGCGCGUGGGGUGUGAAACCGGGUGGCUUAACUGCCCGUCGCCAUCCCAUACGGCGCGCCUGGAGCCAUCCAGAGGUCGGUGGAAUUGCCGGUGUAGUGGUGAAAUGCGUAGAUAUCGGAAGGAACACCAGUGGCGAAAGCGGCUUCCUGGUCCAGCACCGACGUCAGGCACGAAAGCGUGGGGAGCAAACAGG